GACGAACGCUGGCGGCGUGCUUAACACAUGCAAGUCGAACGGAAAGGCCCUGCUUUUGUGGGGUGCUCGAGUGGCGAACGGGUGAGUAACACGUGAGUAACCUGCCCUUGACUUUGGGAUAACUUCAGGAUACUGGGGCUAAUACCGGAUAGGAGCGCCUGCUGCAUGGUGGGGGUUGGAAAGUUUCGGCGGUUGGGGAUGGACUCCCGGCUUAUCAGCUUGUUGGGGGGGUAGUGGCUUACCAAGGCUUUGACGGGUAGCCGGCCUGAGAGGGUGACCGGCCACAUUGGGACUGCGAGACGGCCCAGACUCCUACGGGAGGCAGCAGUGGGGAAUAUUGCACAAUGGGCGGAAGCCUGAUGCAGCAACGCCGCGUGCGGGAUGACGGCCUUCGGGUUGUAAACCGCUUUCGCCUGUGACGAAGCGUGAGUGACGGUAAUGGGUAAAGAAGCACCGGCUAACUACGUG
RNAcentral lists this ribosomal RNA (468 nucleotides) under uncultured bacterium. Its description in RNAcentral is "partial 16S ribosomal RNA". It matches the Rfam family "Bacterial small subunit ribosomal RNA", at positions 28 to 507 of the family's 1533-position model. The record is from RNAcentral.